RNAcentral lists this transfer RNA (103 nucleotides) under Trametes cingulata. RNAcentral describes it as "tRNA-Met". It matches the Rfam family "tRNA". Rfam says of the family: Transfer RNA (tRNA) molecules are approximately 80 nucleotides in length. The record is from RNAcentral. Lineage: Eukaryota; Fungi; Basidiomycota; Agaricomycetes; Polyporales; Polyporaceae.
GCUUGGAUGGCUCAGUUGGUUAGAGCGCAGGUCUCAUACUUUGCGUAUGACCACCGCACGGUGGGCAAUCCUGAGGUCGUGAGUUCGAUCCUCACUCCGAGCA